Molecule: long non-coding RNA, 522 nt
Filed under: Homo sapiens (human)
Lineage: Eukaryota; Metazoa; Chordata; Mammalia; Primates; Hominidae
Description: HSALNT0408420
Source: RNAcentral
CUCUGAGCGCACGACAGCGGGCAAAACAACACGUGACCACAGCCUCACGCGGCGGCCGCUGCGGAUCCUGCUACCGGCGCAAUGGAGGGGCGCGAGCGGCCACCAGUAGAGACCGAAAAACUUUAGAAAAAGAAAAGCUCAUACCUAGAACAAAGGACCACGCUGAAUGCAUAUUCUAGAGCACAUUUCACAUCCCUCGCGUCAACAAGAAGAAGAAGAGGAGCUUUGAUGCAUUUCAGUCUACAAGUUGACAUCACAAAAGUGCUGGAAGCAGCCGUGGUUUCGGAAGGGAGCUAGAGGCAGAACGAGUGUGGAUGCUGAGAGAUCCCUGACUGUGACUGCUACAUAUUUCAGCUGCGUAGUCACAUAUAUACAAGAUUCCCUGCACUUACAACCAAAAUGAUAACAAAUGCUCUCAUUUGGGAUUUUGUUUGAUAGUCAUUAGGAUAUUUUAUAAGUCUUUCCAAGCACAAGGUUUUUUUCUUUUUUUUUUUAAAGAGAAAUGUGACAAAUAAGGCAACA